RNAcentral lists this ribosomal RNA (465 nucleotides) under uncultured bacterium. RNAcentral describes it as "partial 16S ribosomal RNA". It matches the Rfam family "Bacterial small subunit ribosomal RNA", at positions 338 to 795 of the family's 1533-position model. The record is from RNAcentral.
CCUACGGGCGGCUGCAGUAGGGAAUCUUCCACAAUGGGCGAAAGCCUGAUGGAGCAACGCCGCGUGGGUGAAGAAGGUCUUCGGAUCGUAAAACUCUGUUGUUAGAGAAGAAAGAGCGUGAGAGUAACUGUUCACGUUUCGACGGUAUCUAACCAGAAAGCCACGGCUAACUACGUGCCAGAAGCCGCGGUAAUACGUAGGUGGCAAGCGUUAUCCGGAUUGAUUGGGCUUAAAGGGAACGCAGGCGGUCUUUUAAGUCUGAUGUGAAAGCCUUCGGCUUAACCGGAGUAGUGCAUUGGAAACUGGGGGCCUUGAGUGCAGAAGAGGAGAGUGGAACUCAAUGUGGAGCGGUGAAAUGCGUAGAUAUAUGGAAGAACACCAGUGGCGAAAGCGACUGUCUGGUCUGUAACUGACGCUGAGGUUCGAAAGCGUGGGUAGCAAACAGGAUUAGAUACCCGGGUAGUC